UCUCGAUAAAGGCAAACCUGAUGAAAAUCAGCGACGCAAAGCUAUAGGGGCUACGGAGACAUGUUGCCACGCAUGAAUCUACGCCAGCCAGUUACCGAA
This 99-nucleotide non-coding RNA is filed under the name Pontibacillus yanchengensis. RNAcentral describes it as "c-di-GMP sequence". It matches the Rfam family "c-di-GMP-I riboswitch aptamer". From Rfam's summary of the family: GEMM was predicted in a large-scale screen for bacterial structured RNA regulatory elements. Genes associated with GEMM are involved in a diverse array of functions, including chemotaxis regulation, signal transduction, secretion and chitin. Lineage: Bacteria; Bacillati; Bacillota; Bacilli; Caryophanales; Bacillaceae. RNAcentral also lists the same sequence under 1 other name. The record is from RNAcentral.